GGGUGCAGCUCAGCGGUGAAGCGCGUGCUUAGCAUGCACGAGGUCCUGGGUUCAAUCCCCAGUACACCCA
Molecule: transfer RNA, 70 nt
Filed under: Camelus bactrianus (Bactrian camel)
Lineage: Eukaryota; Metazoa; Chordata; Mammalia; Artiodactyla; Camelidae
Also listed under: 2 other names
Rfam family: tRNA
About the family: Transfer RNA (tRNA) molecules are approximately 80 nucleotides in length. Their secondary structure includes four short double-helical elements and three loops (D, anti-codon, and T loops). Further hydrogen bonds mediate the characteristic L-shaped molecular structure. tRNAs have two regions of fundamental functional importance: the anti-codon, which is responsible for specific mRNA codon recognition, and the 3' end, to which the tRNAs corresponding amino acid is attached (by aminoacyl-tRNA synthetases). tRNAs cope with the degeneracy of the genetic code in two manners: having more than one tRNA (with a specific anti-codon) for a particular amino acid; and 'wobble' base-pairing, i.e. permitting non-standard base-pairing at the 3rd anti-codon position.
Source: Rfam by way of RNAcentral